RNAcentral lists this ribosomal RNA (660 nucleotides) under Roseovarius sp. Its description in RNAcentral is "bacterial SSU rRNA". It matches the Rfam family "Bacterial small subunit ribosomal RNA", at positions 35 to 743 of the family's 1533-position model. The record is from RNAcentral. Lineage: Bacteria; Pseudomonadati; Pseudomonadota; Alphaproteobacteria; Rhodobacterales; Roseobacteraceae.
GCCAGGGGGGGCAGCCUACACAUGCAGUCGAGCGAACCUUCGGGUUAGCGGCGGACGGGUGAGUAACGCGUGGGAACGUACCCUCUUCUGCGGGAUAGCCACUGGAAACGGUGAGUAAUACCGCAUACGCCCUUCGGGGGAAAGAUUUAUCGGAGGAGGAUCGGCCCGCGUUGGAUUAGGUAGUUGGUGGGGUAAUGGCCUACCAAGCCUACGAUCCAUAGCUGGUUUUAGAGGAUGAUCAGCCACACUGGGACUGAGACACGGCCCAGACUCCUACGGGAGGCAGCAGUGGGGAAUCUUAGACAAUGGGCGCAAGCCUGAUCUAGCCAUGCCGCGUGAGUGACGAAGGCCUUAGGGUCGUAAAGCUCUUUCGCCAGAGAUGAUAAUGACAGUAUCUGGUAAAGAAACCCCGGCUAACUCCGUGCCAGCAGCCGCGGUAAUACGGAGGGGGUUAGCGUUGUUCGGAAUUACUGGGCGUAAAGCGCACGUAGGCGGAUUGGAAAGUUGGGGGUGAAAUCCCAGGGCUCAACCCUGGAACUGCCUCCAAAACUCCCAGUCUGGAGUUCGAGAGAGGUGAGUGGAAUUCCGAGUGUAGAGGUGAAAUUCGUAGAUAUUCGGAGGAACACCAGUGGCGAAGGCGGCUCACUGGCUCGAUACUGA